This 502-nucleotide ribosomal RNA is filed under the name Bacillaceae bacterium CL5.134. RNAcentral describes it as "bacterial SSU rRNA". It matches the Rfam family "Bacterial small subunit ribosomal RNA", at positions 17 to 502 of the family's 1533-position model. The record is from RNAcentral. Lineage: Bacteria; Bacillati; Bacillota; Bacilli; Caryophanales; Bacillaceae.
CCCUGGCUCAGGACGAACGCGGGCGGCGUGCCUAAUACAUGCAAGUCGAGCGAAUCUUUAGGAGCUUGCUCCUGAAGGUAAGCGGCGGACGGGUGAGUAACACGUGGGCAACCUGCCUGUAAGACUGGGAUAACUUCGGGAAACCGGAGCUAAUACCGGAUAAUCCUUUUCCUCUCAUGAGGAAAAGCUGAAAGUCGGUUUACGCUGACACUUACAGAUGGGCCCGCGGCGCAUUAGCUAGUUGGUGAGGUAACGGCUCACCAAGGCGACGAUGCGUAGCCGACCUGAGAGGGUGAUCGGCCACACUGGGACUGAGACACGGCCCAGACUCCUACGGGAGGCAGCAGUAGGGAAUCUUCCGCAAUGGACGAAAGUCUGACGGAGCAACGCCGCGUGAGCGAUGAAGGCCUUCGGGUCGUAAAGCUCUGUUGUUAGGGAAGAACAAGUACCGGAGUAACUGCCGGUACCUUGACGGUACCUAACCAGAAAGCCACGGCUAACU